UACAGAGGUCCCAAGCGUUGUUCGGAUUCAUUGGGCGUAAAGCGCGCGUAGGCGGUUGCUUAAGUCGGAUGUGAAAGCCCUCGGCUUAACUGAGGAAGUGCAUCCGAAACUGAGCAGCUAGAGUACGAAAGAGGGUCGCGGAAUUCCCGGUGUAGAGGUGAAAUUCGUAGAUAUCGGGAGGAACACCGGUGGCGAAGGCGGCGACCUGGGUCGAGACUGACGCUGAGGCGCGAAAGCGUGGGGAGCAAACAGG
Molecule: ribosomal RNA, 253 nt
Filed under: uncultured bacterium
Lineage: Bacteria
Description: partial 16S ribosomal RNA
Rfam family: Bacterial small subunit ribosomal RNA
Source: RNAcentral